RNAcentral lists this ribosomal RNA (519 nucleotides) under uncultured eukaryote. RNAcentral's name for it is "SSU rRNA". It matches the Rfam family "Eukaryotic small subunit ribosomal RNA", at positions 1161 to 1707 of the family's 1831-position model. The record is from RNAcentral.
AGGGCACCACCAGGAGUGGAGCCUGCGGCUUAAUUUGACUCAACACGGGAAAACUUACCUGGUCCUGACACUAGAAGGAUUGACAGAUUGAUAGCUCUUUCUUGAUUUGGUGGAUGGUGGUGCAUGGCCGUUCUUAGUUGGUGGAGUGAUUUGUCUGGUUAAUUCCGAUAACGAACGAGACUCUAGCCUAUUAAAUAACACACAGAAUCUUGUCUUCUGUGGCGUUUCUUAAUGGGAUCAAGUGUGUUUAACGCUUUGAAACAGAGCAAUAACAGGUCUGUGAUGCCCUUAGAUGUUCGGGGCCGCACGCGCGCUACAUUGAGAGACAAAAUGAGUUUUCUAGCCUUUAAUAAGGCUAGUAAUCUUUGAAUGUUUUUCUUAAUGGGGAUAGGGGAUUGCAAUUGUGCCCCUUGAACGAGGAAUUCCCAGUAAGUGCUAGUCAUUAGCUAGUACUGAUUACGUCCCUGCCCUUUGUACACACCGCCCGUCGCUACUACCGAUUGAAUGGUUUAGUGAGAU